Molecule: transfer RNA, 49 nt
Filed under: Diplotaxis tenuifolia
Lineage: Eukaryota; Viridiplantae; Streptophyta; Magnoliopsida; Brassicales; Brassicaceae
Description: tRNA-Leu
Source: RNAcentral
AAAAUCCGUUGACUUUUAAAAUCGUGAGGGUUCAAGUCCCUCUAUCCCC